CCUACGGGGGGCAGCAGUGGGGAAUAUUGGGCAAUGGAGGAAACUCUGACCCAGCAACGCCGCGUGAAGGAUGAAGGUAUUCGGAUUGUAGACUUCUGUCGCGAGGGAUGAAGAAUGACGGUACCUCGUAAGAAAGCCCCGGCAAACUACGUGCCAGCAGCAGCGGGAAUAAGUAGGGUGCGAGCGAUGGCCGGAAUGACAGGGCGUAAAGUGAGUGUCGGCGGGAUAGUAAGUUCUGUGUGAAAGACCGCGAGUUAACCGCGGAAUUCCACAUAAAACUGGGAAGGUGGGGUGCAGGAGAGGUAAGUGGAACUGCCGGUGGUGCGGUUGAAGGCGUAGAUAUGGGGAGGAAAACGAGUGG
RNAcentral lists this ribosomal RNA (361 nucleotides) under uncultured bacterium. Its description in RNAcentral is "partial 16S ribosomal RNA". It matches the Rfam family "Bacterial small subunit ribosomal RNA", at positions 338 to 715 of the family's 1533-position model. The record is from RNAcentral.